UGCAAGGCUCUGGGCGCACACUUGCAGGGAGGUGGUUAUUGCCCUCUUGGUUGGCUUCCUGCAGAGGAGUCAGGGAAGGGGCUGUGGAGGAGGCCCUUCCUGCCUGAGACCUGAGGGCACAUGAGAGCUGACCAGGAGACUGUGGGGUGUGAGCUUCUCUGGCAGAAACAAAUGUCAUGAGUAUUAUCAGAGAUGGGGCACAAAUAAAUAGGAAGAACCUACAGCUCACAGCUACUUGGAGGCUCCCGAAGGAGGCUGCCUGUCCCCCAUGUACAGAGCCCCAGAGGAUGCAGUCGGGAAGUGAAGAAUCACAAGCCCUGUAACAUGAGUGUGGUCCAAUCCUCAGCCGAGCAGCAAUACAGAACCGCAGGACAAUGAGGACACCACCCUGCCCAUAGCUUCCUGUGCAGAUGCCUAAAGUACCAAAAUGGACCAGCAAGGGACACUUACCUGGGGGCUGCGCUACAUGGCUCUGGUGGCUCUCUGCUGGACACACGGGGUGACAGAGGC
This is a long non-coding RNA of Grammomys surdaster, 510 nucleotides long. RefSeq lists it as uncharacterized. The record is from RefSeq and is a predicted model, not a curated record. The transcript has 3 exons. Lineage: Eukaryota; Metazoa; Chordata; Mammalia; Rodentia; Muridae.